CUCGUACGCCUGUUGAGGGCAGAUGAAGUGAAUAUGGGAGUCCAUACCCCCAGCCGUGACGAUCUUGUUCUCGCCAGCGAUGACAUCGGUGCAGCUACCCACGAUCAUACCAUCUGUAACACCAUCCAUGACAUCCGGAUUUCCUGCUUUUCCAAUACCCACGAUGAGACCACCUUUGACACCGAUGUCGGCCUUGUAGAUGCCCGUGUAGUCGACGAUGAGCGCGUUCGUGACGACGAGAUCAAGACUGUCAGCGUCGGCGCACCCGCUCAUCUGCCCCAUGCCCUCGCGCAG
This 294-nucleotide small RNA is filed under the name Xylariales sp. No.14919. Its description in RNAcentral is "fungal sp. No.14919 5' ureB small RNA". It matches the Rfam family "5' ureB small RNA". Lineage: Eukaryota; Fungi; Ascomycota; Sordariomycetes; Xylariales. The record is from Rfam by way of RNAcentral.